This 73-nucleotide transfer RNA is filed under the name Mus musculus (house mouse). RNAcentral describes it as "tRNA-Ala". Lineage: Eukaryota; Metazoa; Chordata; Mammalia; Rodentia; Muridae. The record is from RNAcentral.
GGGGAUGUAGCUCGGUUGGCAGAGCUCUUGCCUAGCAUUCGUGAAGUCUGUAGUUCAAGUCUACGGCUCCUCU